Stomoxys calcitrans (stable fly) is the source of this 989-nucleotide long non-coding RNA. RefSeq lists it as uncharacterized. The record is from RefSeq and is a predicted model, not a curated record. The transcript has 2 exons. NCBI's taxonomy places the organism in Eukaryota, Metazoa, Arthropoda, Insecta, Diptera, Muscidae.
UAAGGAAUGUUAAUAAUGAUGUUCAUAGGAAUAUGAUCAGAAUGAUUUAAUAAAUUUCAUUUUUAAUUAUUUGCGGAGUUUUUGGUUUUAAAAAGGUGUAUGGCCCAGUGGGUCAGAUAGCGUGGAUGGUAAUGCAGGAAAUAUUAGUACGAGAAAUCGUACGACUUAUCGUUGGUCUAUGGUUUGAAAUGGGAUGACGGUUAAUCUAAUGAUCAUUCCCAAUAGAAUGACAGGGACGGUCAAGAAGACGGCAGAAGGUGAAACGCCAAGAAAAUUUGGGAAAAUACGGAAAAUGGCCAAAGAAGAGAUUAAGGCAAAAUGGUCAUCUUGGAAAAUAGGCGUCUGGCGCGAAAAAUACGGACCAUAUAAAUAGACGACGAGAAAAAUCCAGCUUCAUUGUACACCAGUGGACCGACUGUAACAAGUGUUUUGGGUUUCAAUCCAGAGGGAUUGCCAAUUGUAAAAGAAUAACGUAUCAAAGACUUUGUGUGUGAACUUUUAUUUGUGUAUCAUACAAUAUAAACAAAAUUUGGAACUGCACUGGCCUUCCUUGUAGAGUGGACGGAGGCCAGUGUCAUUAUUUUUUUCUGGUUUGAUCAACGAGCAGAGUGCCUCUUUGGUGAAGUGUUGUGCCCAGCAGAUUUGCAAGUACUUUUGCCGUGUGAAUCCGAUUUAUGUUAAAAGUGUUGCUGGCGUUAGAGUUGUAUCCCACGAGGAAGUUUGGCCGUUGGGAGAUAUAUGAUUAAAGCUCGACUGCGAAGUUUCCAUCUAAGAAGAUUUCGCCUGGCGCUUCCCCUCCCGCUGUUACAGUCCCUCUAAAACAAGAGAAAAGCUCAAACCAAUCAGAAAUUUGCCGUGUAAAUUAAGGUAAAAAGACUUGUCGUAACUGUGUGUCCGUCUAUAUGUACUGGUGUAGAAAAACCAUUGUUAUAAUUUGAUGACUACGAUAAGUCUGCAGAAAAGAAAUUAAAAAAAAAAAAAAAAAAAAA